RNAcentral lists this ribosomal RNA (253 nucleotides) under uncultured bacterium. RNAcentral describes it as "partial 16S ribosomal RNA". It matches the Rfam family "Bacterial small subunit ribosomal RNA", at positions 524 to 776 of the family's 1533-position model. The record is from RNAcentral.
UACGUAGGCAGCAAGCGUUGUUCGGAGUUACUGGGCGUAAAGGGCGCGCAGGCGGCCGGCCAAGUCAGGCGUGAAAGCCCCGGGCUUAACCUGGGAAUUGCGUCUGGGACUGGUUGGCUAGAGAUCGGGAGAGGAGAGUGGAAUUCCCAGUGUAGAGGUGAAAUUCGUAGAUAUUGGGAAGAACACCGGUGGCGAAGGCGGCGCUCUGGACCGAGACUGACGCUGAGGCGCGAAAGCGUGGGGAGCAAACAGG